CCCUUAGAUGUUCUGGGCCGCACGCGCGAUACACUGAUGCAUUCAACGAGCCUAUCCUUGACCGACAGGUCCGGGUAAUCUUUGAAUCUGCAUCGUGACGGGGAUAGAUUAUUGCAAUUAUUAAUCUUCAACGAGGAAUGCCUAGUAGGCGCAAGUCAUCAGCUUGCGUCGAUUACGUCCCUGCCCUUUGUACACACCGCCCGUCGCUCCUACCGAUUGGGUGUGCUGGUGAAAUGUUCGGAUCGGCCGUUUGUCGCGGUUUCCGCGUCAUGUGGCUGAGAAGUUCAUUAAACCCUCCCACCUAGAGGAAGGAGAAGUCGUAACA
Molecule: ribosomal RNA, 325 nt
Filed under: uncultured eukaryote
Lineage: Eukaryota
Description: partial 18S ribosomal RNA
Rfam family: Eukaryotic small subunit ribosomal RNA
Source: RNAcentral